ACAUUCUGAGGUCAUGGCACGCAUCACAAUGGGGCCUUGCCCGGGUCAGCAGUGCCCAGAGUCAGGGUCCUCCGCUGCCUGAGGCGUCAACAUGCCUGCCUGCAAUGUGUUUGUGCAUGGCCUAGGGGAUGCCAAAUUCCAGGGUCCAGAAAGAGCUUGGGAUAAAAUGAAACUUCAAGGGGACGGCUUUGACCUGGGCUGAGUCUGCCUGUGCCGAGUCUGCCUGUGCCAUCCAACUGGAGUCUCAAGUCCUGAGGCAGUACGUCCAGAUGCCCCAGUGCAGGGUCCUCCUGAUCAACACCUGCUCCCCUGUACUCAUUAGCAACCUCACCCACCCUACUCUCAAAGCACACUUGGCUCUCAUAUCCAGGAGCUCUGCAUCUGUGGAUUCAGCAACAGCAGAUGGAAAAUAUUCAGAAAAUAAAUUGGACGGUUAUGUUUCUAUUGAA
RNAcentral lists this long non-coding RNA (449 nucleotides) under Homo sapiens (human). RNAcentral describes it as "HSALNT0391008". Lineage: Eukaryota; Metazoa; Chordata; Mammalia; Primates; Hominidae. The record is from RNAcentral.